Molecule: ribosomal RNA, 301 nt
Filed under: uncultured bacterium
Lineage: Bacteria
Description: partial 16S ribosomal RNA
Rfam family: Bacterial small subunit ribosomal RNA
Source: RNAcentral
CAGUCGCCACGGUAAUACGUAGGGUGCGAGCGUUAAUCGGAAUUACUGGGCGUAAAGCGUGCGCAGGCGGUUAUAUAAGACAGAUGUGAAAUCCCCGGGCUCAACCUGGGACCUGCAUUUGUGACUGUAUAGCUAGAGUACGGUAGAGGGGGAUGGAAUUCCGCGUGUAGCAGUGAAAUGCGUAGAUAUGCGGAGGAACACCGAUGGCGAAGGCAAUCCCCUGGACCUGUACUGACGCUCAUGCACGAAAGCGUGGGGAGCAGACAGGAUUAGAUACCCCAGUAGUCCCUGUCUCUUAUAC